RNAcentral lists this transfer RNA (73 nucleotides) under Alternaria tenuissima. RNAcentral's name for it is "tRNA-Pro". It matches the Rfam family "tRNA". Rfam says of the family: Transfer RNA (tRNA) molecules are approximately 80 nucleotides in length. RNAcentral also lists the same sequence under 1 other name. Lineage: Eukaryota; Fungi; Ascomycota; Dothideomycetes; Pleosporales; Pleosporaceae. The record is from RNAcentral.
CAGACUAGGGCCGGAUUGGUAAGGCGCUCCCUUUGGGAGGGAGAGAUAUUGCGUUCGACCCGCAAUAGUCUGA